Molecule: ribosomal RNA, 253 nt
Filed under: uncultured bacterium
Lineage: Bacteria
Description: partial 16S ribosomal RNA
Rfam family: Bacterial small subunit ribosomal RNA
Source: RNAcentral
UACGUAGGGUGCAAGCGUUAAUCGGAAUUACUGGGCGUAAAGCGUGCGCAGGCGGUUUUGUAAGUCUGUCGUGAAAGCCCCGGGCUCAACCUGGGAAUUGCGAUGGAGACUGCAAGGCUUGAAUCUGGCAGAGGGGGGUAGAAUUCCACGUGUAGCAGUGAAAUUCGUAGAGAUGUGGAGGAACACCGAUGGCGAAGGCAGCCCCCUGGGUCAAGAUUGACGCUCAUGCACGAAAGCGUGGGGAGCAAACAGG